CCUACGGGUGGCAGCAGUGGGGAAUAUUGGACAAUGGGGGGAACCCUGAUCCAGCCAUGCCGCGUGUGUGAAGAAGGCCCUCGGGUUGUAAAGCACUUUCAGUGAGGAAGAACGCCUGGUGGUUAAUACCCAUCAGGAAAGACAUCACUCACAGAAGAAGCACCGGCUAACUCCGUGCCAGCAGCCGCGGUAAUACGGAGGGUGCGAGCGUUAAUCGGAAUUACUAGGCGUAAAGCGCGCGUAGGUGGCUUGAUAAGCCGGUUGUGAAAGCCCCGGGCUCAACCUGGGAACGGCAUCCGGAACUGUCAAGCUAGAGUGCAGGAGAGGAAGGUAGAAUUCCCGGUGUAGCGGUGAAAUGCGUAGAGAUCGGGAGGAAUACCAGUGGCGAAGGCGGCCUUCUGGACUGACACUGACACUGAGGUGCGAAAGCGUGGGUAGCAAACAGGAUUAGAUACCCCGGUAGUC
This 465-nucleotide ribosomal RNA is filed under the name Vreelandella stevensii. RNAcentral's name for it is "partial 16S ribosomal RNA". It matches the Rfam family "Bacterial small subunit ribosomal RNA", at positions 338 to 795 of the family's 1533-position model. The record is from RNAcentral. Lineage: Bacteria; Pseudomonadati; Pseudomonadota; Gammaproteobacteria; Oceanospirillales; Halomonadaceae.